GAUGAACGCUGGCGGCGUGCUUAACACAUGCAAGUCGAACGAAGCAUUUAAGACAGAUUACUUCGGUUUGAAGUCUUUUAUGACUGAGUGGCGGACGGGUGAGUAACGCGUGGGUAACCUGCCUCAUACAGGGGGAUAGCAGCUGGAAACGGCUGGUAAUACCGCAUAAGCGCACAGUACCACAUGGUACAGUGUGAAAAACUCCGGUGGUAUGAGAUGGACCCGCGUCUGAUUAGCUUGUUGGCGGGGUAACGGCCCACCAAGGCGACGAUCAGUAGCCGACCUGAGAGGGUGACCGGCCACAUUGGGACUGAGACACGGCCCAGACUCCUACGGGAGGCAGCAGUGGGGAAUAUUGCACAAUGGAGGAAACUCUGAUGCAGCGACGCCGCGUGAGUGAAGAAGUAGUUCGCUAUGUAAAGCUCUAUCAGCAGGGAAGAUAGUGACGGUACCUGACGAAGAAGCGCCGGCUAAAUACGUG
Molecule: ribosomal RNA, 481 nt
Filed under: uncultured bacterium
Lineage: Bacteria
Description: partial 16S ribosomal RNA
Rfam family: Bacterial small subunit ribosomal RNA
Source: RNAcentral